Molecule: ribosomal RNA, 493 nt
Filed under: uncultured bacterium
Lineage: Bacteria
Description: partial 16S ribosomal RNA
Rfam family: Bacterial small subunit ribosomal RNA
Source: RNAcentral
GACGAACGCUGGCGGCGUGCCUAACACAUGCAAGUUGAGCGACGAACCAGGGCUUGCCCUGGGGCAAAGCAGCGAACGGGUGAGUAACACGUGGGUAACCUACCCCGAUAACCGGGACAACCCGAGGAAACUCGGGCUAAUACCGGAUGUGCUCACUGGACUUCGGUUCAGUGCGUAAAGGAAGCUUCGGCCUCCGUAUCGGGAGGGGCCCGCGGCCCAUUAGUUUGUUGGUGAGGUAACGGCUCACAAAGACCGCGAUGGGUAGCUGGUCUGAGAGGACGAUCAGCCACACUGGGACUGAGACACGGCCCAGACUCCUACGGGAGGCAGCAGUGGGGAAUCUUGCGCAAAGCGCGAAAGCGUGACGCAGCAACGCCGCGUGGGGGAAGAAGGCCUUCGGGUUGUAAACCCCUUUCAGGAGGGACGAAGGUUCGGCGGUGAAUAGCCGUCCGGACUGACGGUACCUCCACAAGAAGCCCCGGCUAACUACGUG